ACCCAGACUCCUACGGGAGGCAGCAGUGGGGAAUAUUGCACAAUGGGGGGAACCCUGAUGCAGCGACGCCGCGUGGGUGAAGGAGCACCUCGGUGCGUAAAGCCCUAUCGGCAGGGAAGAAACAGACGGUACCUGACUAAGAAGCCCCGGCUAACUACGUGCCAGCAGCCGCGGUAAUACGUAGGGGGCAAGCGUUAUCCGGAUUCACUGGGUGUAAAGGGAGCGUAGACGGCGACGCAAGUCUGGAGUGAAAGCCCGGGGCCCAACCCCGGGACUGCUUUGGAAACUGUGUAACUGGAGUACAGGAGGGGCAGGCGGAAUUCCUGGUGUAGCGGUGAAAUGCGUAGAUAUCAGGAGGAACACCGGCGGCGAAGGCGGCCCGCUGGACUGAAACUGACGUUGAGGCUCGAAAGCGUGGGGAGCAAACAGGAUUAGAUACCCGAGUA
RNAcentral lists this ribosomal RNA (446 nucleotides) under uncultured bacterium. RNAcentral's name for it is "bacterial SSU rRNA". It matches the Rfam family "Bacterial small subunit ribosomal RNA", at positions 329 to 792 of the family's 1533-position model. The record is from RNAcentral.